AGAGUUUGAUCAUGGCUCAGAACGAACGCUGGCGGCGUGGAUAAGACAUGCAAGUCGAGCGAGAUCUUUUCCUGUAGCAAUACAGGGAAAAGUCUAGCGGCGAACGGGUGCUUAACACGUGGGCAACCUGCCGUGAAGUGGGGGAUAGCUCGCCGAAAGGCGAAUUAAUACCGCAUGUGAUUAGAAAGGACAUCCUUUCGAAAUUAAAGUCGGGGCAACCUGACGCUUCUUGUGGGGCCCGCGGCCUAUCAGCUAGUUGGUGAGGUAACGGCUCACCAAGGCUUUGACGGGUAGCUGGUCUGAGAGGAUGACCAGCCACACUGGGACUGAGACACGGCCCAGACACCUACGGGUGGCAGCAGUCGAGAAUUUUUGACAAUGGGGGAAACCCUGAUCGAGCGACGCCGCGUGGAGGAUGAAGGUCUUCGGAUUGUAAACUCCUGUCAUUGGGGAACAAGGUGCAUACGUUAACUGCGUGUGCAUUGAUAGUACCCCGAAGAGGAAGAGACGGCUAACUCUGUGCCAGCAGCCGCGGUA
RNAcentral lists this ribosomal RNA (537 nucleotides) under uncultured Verrucomicrobiota bacterium. RNAcentral's name for it is "bacterial SSU rRNA". It matches the Rfam family "Bacterial small subunit ribosomal RNA", at positions 8 to 522 of the family's 1533-position model. The record is from RNAcentral. Lineage: Bacteria; Pseudomonadati; Verrucomicrobiota.